RNAcentral lists this small nucleolar RNA (101 nucleotides) under Tupaia belangeri (northern tree shrew). Lineage: Eukaryota; Metazoa; Chordata; Mammalia; Scandentia; Tupaiidae. The record is from RNAcentral.
AUGGCAGGUUAUAUGCUAUAUGAGAAGCAAGAUUUUUUGCUAAUAUCACAGGAGCCUCUGGCCCAAUGAAUGGGGUCUGAUAGUAAUCUUUUUCUUUAAAU